RNAcentral lists this ribosomal RNA (497 nucleotides) under uncultured bacterium. RNAcentral describes it as "partial 16S ribosomal RNA". It matches the Rfam family "Bacterial small subunit ribosomal RNA", at positions 28 to 507 of the family's 1533-position model. The record is from RNAcentral.
GACGAACGCUGGCGGCGUGCCUAAUACAUGCAAGUUGAGCGCUGAAGGUUGGUACUUGUACCAACUGGAUGAGCAGCGAACGGGUGAGUAACGCGUGGGGAAUCUGCCUUUGAGCGGGGGACAACAUUUGGAAACGAAUGCUAAUACCGCAUAAAAACUUUAAACACAAGUUUUAAGUUUGAAAGAUGCAAUUACAUCACUCAAAGAUGAUCCCGCGUUGUAUUAGCUAGUUGGUGAGGUAAAGGCUCACCAAGGCGAUGAUACAUAGCCGACCUGAGAGGGUGAUCGGCCACAUUGGGACUGAGACACGGCCCAAACUCCUACGGGAGGCAGCAGUAGGGAAUCUUCGGCAAUGGACGAAAGUCUGACCGAGCAACGCCGCGUGAGUGAAGAAGGGUUUCGGAUCGUAAAACUCUGUUGGUAGAGAAGAACGUUGGUGAGAGUGGAAAGCUCACCAAGUGACGGUAACUACCCAGAAAGGGACGGCUAACUACGUG